AUUGAACGCUGGCGGCAUGCCUUACACAUGCAAGUCGAACGGUAACAGGUCUUCGGAUGCUGACGAGUGGCGAACGGGUGAGUAAUACAUCGGAACGUGCCCGAUCGUGGGGGAUAACUACUCGCAAGAGUAGCUAAUACCGCAUACGAUCUACGGAUGAAAGCGGGGGAUCUUCGGACCUCGUGUGGCAGGAGCGGCUGAUGGCAGAUGAGGUAGUUGGUGGGAUAAAAGCUUACCAAGCCGACGAUCUGGAGCUGGUCUGAGCGGUCGACCGGCCGCACUGGUACUGAGACACGGACCAGACUCCUACGGGAGCCAGCAGGGGGGAAUUUUGGACAAUGGGCGAAAGCCUGAUCCAGCAAUGCCGCGUGCAGGAUGAAGUCCUUCGGGUUGUAAACUGCUUUUGUACGGAACGAAAAGACUCCUUCUAAUACAGGGGGUCCAUGACGGUACCGUAAGAAUAAGCACCGGCUAACUACGUGCCAGCAGCCGCCGUAA
RNAcentral lists this ribosomal RNA (498 nucleotides) under uncultured bacterium. RNAcentral's name for it is "partial 16S ribosomal RNA". It matches the Rfam family "Bacterial small subunit ribosomal RNA", at positions 30 to 523 of the family's 1533-position model. The record is from RNAcentral.